This 484-nucleotide ribosomal RNA is filed under the name uncultured bacterium. RNAcentral describes it as "partial 16S ribosomal RNA". It matches the Rfam family "Bacterial small subunit ribosomal RNA", at positions 28 to 507 of the family's 1533-position model. The record is from RNAcentral.
GAUGAACGCUAGCGACAGGCUUAACACAUGCAAGUCGAGGGGCAGCACAGGUAGCAAUACCGGGUGGCGACCGGCGCACGGGUGAGUAACGCGUAUGCAACUUACCUAUCAGAGGGGGAUAACCCGGCGAAAGUCGGGCUAAUACCGCAUGAAGCAGGGGUCCCGCAUGGGGAUAUUUGCUAAGAUUCAUUACUGAUAGAUAGGCAUGCGUUCCAUUAGGCAGUUGGCGGGGUAACGGCCCACCAAACCGACGAUGGAUAGGGGUUCUGAGAGGAAGGUCCCCCACAUUGGUACUGAGACACGGACCAAACUCCUACGGGAGGCAGCAGUGAGGAAUAUUGGUCAAUGGCCGAGAGGCUGAACCAGCCAAGUCGCGUGAGGGAUGAAGGUUCUAUGGAUCGUAAACCUCUUUUAUAAGGGAAUAAAGUGCGGGACGUGUCCCGUUUUGUAUGUACCUUAUGAAUAAGGAUCGGCUAACUCCGUG